AGAGUUUGAUCCUGGCUCAGGAUGAACGCUGGCGGCGUGCCUAAUACAUGCAAGUCGAGCGAACAGACGAGGAGCUUGCUCCUCUGACGUUAGCGGCGGACGGGUGAGUAACACGUGGAUAACCUACCUAUAAGACUGGGAUAACUUCGGGAAACCGGAGCUAAUACCGGAUAAUAUAUUGAACCGCAUGGUUCAAUAGUGAAAGACGGUUUUGCUGUCACUUAUAGAUGGAUCCGCGCCGCAUUAGCUAGUUGGUAAGGUAACGGCUUACCAAGGCAACGAUGCGUAGCCGACCUGAGAGGGUGAUCGGCCACACUGGAACUGAGACACGGUCCAGACUCCUACGGGAGGCAGCAGUAGGGAAUCUUCCGCAAUGGGCGAAAGCCUGACGGAGCAACGCCGCGUGAGUGAUGAAGGUCUUCGGAUCGUAAAACUCUGUUAUUAGGGAAGAACAAAUGUGUAAGUAACUAUGCACGUCUUGACGGUACCUAAUCAGAAAGCCACGGCUAACUACGUGCCAGCAGCCGCGGUAAUACGUAGGUGGCAAGCGUUAUCCGGAAUUAUUGGGCGUAAAGCGCGCGUAGGCGGUUUUUUAAGUCUGAUGUGAAAGCCCACGGCUCAACCGUGGAGGGUCAUUGGAAACUGGAAAACUUGAGUGCAGAAGAGGAAAGUGGAAUUCCAUGUGUAGCGGUGAAAUGCGCAGAGAUAUGGAGGAACACCAGUGGCGAAGGCGACUUUCUGGUCUGUAACUGACGCUGAUGUGCGAAAGCGUGGGGAUCAAACAGGAUUAGAUACCCUGGUAGUCCACGCCGUAAACGAUGAGUGCUAAGUGUUAGGGGGUUUCCGCCCCUUAGUGCUGCAGCUAACGCAUUAAGCACUCCGCCUGGGGAGUACGACCGCAAGGUUGAAACUCAAAGGAAUUGACGGG
Molecule: ribosomal RNA, 928 nt
Filed under: Streptococcus pneumoniae
Lineage: Bacteria; Bacillati; Bacillota; Bacilli; Lactobacillales; Streptococcaceae
Description: bacterial SSU rRNA
Rfam family: Bacterial small subunit ribosomal RNA
Source: RNAcentral